Podarcis lilfordi (Lilford's wall lizard) is the source of this 7133-nucleotide non-coding RNA. NCBI's taxonomy places the organism in Eukaryota, Metazoa, Chordata, Lepidosauria, Squamata, Lacertidae. The record is from the annotation of a GenBank genome assembly.
GGGCUGUCCUGGUCCAGGAAAAACUUGAGCUGACAGACCAGAGCUGGGCAUAGGCACUGCUAGCUACUGAUGCCACUCAAACUUAAAGUGAGAGUUUGGAAUCCAAGAGUACCACUAGUGAAACAGCUCCUGGUUGCACCCAGUUGUGGGAACCAACUACCAUCAGUGCUUCCAUCUUUCUCAUUACUGCCUUGGCGCAGUGAUUCAGCCCCUGUACAGUUUCACCUUACUCAGAUGGAAUAAAGAGAUAGAACUAGGUGUCAUAGGAUCAUAGAAUUGCAGAGUUAAAAGGGCCCCAAGUGUCAUCUGGUCCAACCCUCUGCUAAUAGGAAUCUCAACUAGAUCAUAUCCAACCUCAGCUUAAAAAUCUCCAAGGAAGGAGAGUCCAUCACUGUGGGAGUCUGUUCCACUCUUGAACAGAUCUUACUGCCAGAAAGAUCUUCCUGAUAUUUAAUCGGAAUCUCCUUUCUUGUAACUUGAAUCCAUUGGUUUGGCUCCAAGCCAUCGGAGCAGGAGAAAACAAGUUUGUUCCAUCCUACACAUGACAGCCCUUUAAAUAUUUGACCAUGGCUAUCUUAUCUCCUCUCAGUCUCAUCUUUUCCAGACUAAACAUACUCAGCUCCCUCAACAAUUCCUCAUAAGGCUUGAUAAUCUUGGUUGCCUUCCUUUGCGCACAUUCCAGUUUGUCAAUAUCCUUCUUCAAUUGUGGUGCAGGUGCCCAGAACUGGACAUUCCAGGUGUUGUCUGACCAAGACAGAAUAGAGCGGGACUAUUACUUCCUUUAAUCAGGAUACUACUGUUGAUGCAGCCUGCAAUAGCACUAGCUUUUUUUGCUGCUGCAUCUCACUGUUGACUAAUAUUAAACGUUGGUCAACUACGAUCCCUAGAUUCUUUUCACGUGUACUUCUGGCAAGCCUGAUGUUCCCCAUUUUAUAUUUGUGCAGCUGGUUCUCCCUGCCUAAGGGACAUUUGUCCCUAUUGGAAUUCAUUUUAUUAGUUUGGACCCAGUUCUCUAAUAUUGGACCCAGUUCAUUUUGAAUCUCGUUUCUGUCUUCAGUGGCAUUGGCUGCUUCUCCCAUGUUUGGUGUGAUAUGCAAAUUAGAUGAACACCCCCUUAAUAUCUCUGUCCAAGUUGUUUAUAAAGAUGUUGAACAGCAAUGGGAGCAAGACAGAAUCCUGUGGCACUCCAUUUGUUGCUUUUUUCCAGAAUGACAAGGGACCAAUAGUGAGCAUCCUUUGUCAUAUGCAUAUUGGUGACGCCAAGCCCCAAAUGCCCAGAUGACCUACCCCAGAAUCAUCACAUAGGUUUCUGUGUGUGGGGCUUUAUAAGAUCAUUAAAUCCAGAUUCAAAAAUUACUAUACUGCACCAAAUGUGUUAAUGCGAGGAAGCAGCUGUAAGGCAGAGUAGUAGGCCAGACUUCCAUGCAAAGGUUGCUGCUAGGAGGCACAUAAGAUCAAGACAGGCCUUGCAUUUAAGACUGGAAUAUUGAUUUAUUAACAAUAGGAACACUCCUUUACAUGUUCAUGAGUGUUUCUACUGUAUACUACAUUAUUUGGAUGAGUGCCACAGACAGUGCCUGACCUCUAGUGGUCAGUGGAAAUAGUAGUUGAAAUAAAUAUAGUUUUCAUUGUGUUGUACAAAUCACACACUUUGAAUUCCAACAGUGUUUUCUGAUCAGACUACAUUUGCCUGAUUAAAAUCAUUAUUUUCUCCAUAGUUUGACGCAAAAAAUGCCAAUCACAUGUUUAAUUAUUUCCCCAUUUGCGAAGGAUUUUUUUUUUAAAAAAACACACACAAACAACUGGAAAUUAUUGGAUCCUUCUUUUGAGACUGUAACUGGGAUGGGGAAACUUUUUCCAGCCUGAGAGCCUUAUUCCCUCCUUGGCAACCUUCCAGGGGCCACAUACCAGUGGGAGGCAAGCCCAGAAGCAAAAAUGGAGUGGGCUAACUAAUGUAAACCUUUGCCUUGUACAGUAAGCCACACUAUUCAGAGUUUUCUGCACAUGACAUCUCUCCAUCCUCUAUCCAGAGAAGCAAGAGGAAGUAUUACAGUUUCCAAACUCAUUCUAGCCAAGCAAAAGAACUUGUGAACAUUGUAUUAUUUCGAAACCAGACUGUGGUCUCUAAGCCCUGAAACCUCCUUCCUGAGAUGAAGAAGUGUAUGUUUUUUGUUCUGGUUUUUAGAAAAGUUGUAUAAUGUUGCUAUUGUUCCAGCAGGCAUUUGCCGGAUAUGUGCUUUUUUUUUGGGAUGUUAUCCUGUGGUUUAUUUAUAAUAUCUCAUUUUGUUAUUCUAUCUACUGGCUUUUUAAGAACAAAACAGCAAAUCUGUCUGUCUGUCUGUCUGUCUGUCUGUCUGUCUCUCUCUCUCUGUGGAGUAUACAAAGUAUUCUGGGCCAUUAGUUGCAUGUGUAACAUGAAUCCAUGUAGCCAGGGAGGGGCAGACACAAAUCUAGACUAUGUGCUCAGGCAUUCUGUUCCCCAUUAAGUAUCCUAGAACAUGCUAGGAGCGCAAAGAGUCUGGGCUCACUAAACUCUAUGGCAGUCCAGUUGUCCAUAAAUACGGCAACUCUGCUAGUAUGGAUUGUGCCUUUAACUUUAGAUAUUUCUUUUCUCUGUAGCAGCCAAAGCUUUGCACCAGGCUCCAGACGCUGCAGGGUUUCAUGCUAGGGCAGUCAGUCAGUUUGCAAUGGGCACCCAUUCCCAUGUGCUGCAUCUGGCUGUGAUCCUACAGAAAUGGAGAGUGCAACACGGAAAGAGAGCUCGUCUUUACUAUUUGUCGUUUGCAUAUGUGGAAGCUAAGAGAGAAGGCCAGUUCCCAAAGGUCCAAGGAUUCUGUGGCUGAUGUGGAAUUUAAAUUCCUUUCUGUAAAUUUCAAGUUCCAGAGAAUCCAAGAAGCAGAGACCACUCAAGACAGGGCUUGGGAACCUUUGGCCCUCUGGACAUUGUUGGACCCCAAGUCCUGUCAGUCCCAGCCAGAAUGGCCAGUAAUCAGGGAUGGUAUAAAAACAUCUGGAGGGUCAUGGAUUCCCCACCUUACAUAAGGAGCAUACCAGGCUUACACUGAAAAUAAUGUGCAUUAUUACGUGCCAUCAACUUUGAAUUGAAAACAAUGUAUGAGAUGAUUUAGAUCAUAAACAAGUUUCAUGCUUGUUUCCUGGAGUUUGGGGUGAAGGUGUAUGCAGGCCUCAUAGUGUGACAUGCUUUUUACCUAAGGAUUGAUUCUAAUACUUCAUAACAAAGUGAACAUCCUGCUGUAGUUUAAAAAUCAACUUGUGCUUCUUGACGUGUCUGUUUCUCCCUCCUUUUUUGGUGAAACCAUUCUCUUUGCUUGGACCGUAGAUGGAUUACAACAGUACUAUUUUAAGUUUCAGGGCAGUCAUUCCCGAGUUAAUAGGAACAUAGGAUGCUGCCUUAUUCCAUAUCAGGCCACUGGUCCAUCUAACUCAGUAUAGUCUACACUGACUGGUAGCAGCUUCCCCAGGAUUUCAAACAGGAGACUUUGCAGCCCUACCUGAAGAUGCUGGGGAUUGAAACUGGAAGCUUCUGCAUGCAAGGCAGAUGCUCUACCACUGAACUGUGGCUCUAUGCUAUGUAUGCUCCCCCCCCUUGAUUUGUGGACUGUAAUUUUCAGUGACAGUCUUAGUGGCUUUUAGAAGAACAAGUGCCGGCAAGCAACAUCCCUUCCAACAGAUGCUGCCUCAUCUGACUAUAGCCUAAUGACUGUAGCAUCUGGCAGAACUGAGGAUACAGUAAAUCCUAAUGGUGUUUCAUCUAUUAUUUAAAAUAGAUUGGGAGACAUGGCAAAGGCAGCUGUGCCAUACUCUGCAUUGCUUUGCUGCCUAAUGCCUUAGAAGGGAUGUGUUAAUUUUACAGCACUGUUCAUAUGUGGAACUGGGGUAUCUUGCACCUGUUGACCCUUUUAUGGGGAACUGUGCAUGUGAAUGGCACGUUGUGGUACGGAUCUUUCCAUCAAUUUCAGUAGGCUACUUCACCUUUGUAUGGCCUGCAUUACAAUUUCCAUAGAGACUGAACUAUUGCUGUAGGUACCCCCCCACACUUUUUUGCAUUGGGUAAGCAGCGGGCACCUUAAACCUGUCGCAGACUGGUCUCUUGAUUCUGGUUUCUGGAGAAUUGUUGCAAGUCAGUGUAGACAAUACUGAAGAAAUGGUCUGACUUGGUAAAAGGUAACUUCCUUUGUGUCUUAUAAAUACAACACAAAACACAACAUUUAUAAAGCAGAAAGCCUAUGUGAGGGAGGACACAUAAAUCGUUAGAGCCUGACAUUUUCCCAUCAAAAAUGAUUUGAUUUAUAAGUAUCCUUCAUGUCGUCAAAAUGUCUUUUCUCCAAAAUGUUCCCUUUUUAAUUUAGCCUAUGCUACAAAGUAAGCUGCCAAAUAAAGGACAUCUCUCUUUAGCAAAGAGCCCUGAAAGAACAUUGACAAAUUAUACCCUAGCAUUAGUAAUUCAAUUAUUGGGCUCCAAUAGAUGCAAUAACAGGGAAUGCAGAUGUAAUUUUGAGACAUCGGUCUUUUUCUAGCAGUCCUCGGCACCUGUUUGUUUUUGUACAGUGCUGUUAAGUAUUGACAAAUUGUUUUAUAGACAUUGAUGUAUGUUGCCCCUGUGAAAAUAUUACUGUAGCGUACAUUGCCUUUCUCAAAUCCAAAAUGGAUUUCUGAGCCACAGAAAAUGUUCUUCCUCAUUGGAGGGAAAGUGGUUGCUGUUCCUCGACAGCACACAUGAAGUUCUGAAGUACAUGUGAAUGUACAUGGCCUUUCAUUCUGUUUUAUUGAUGAAAUAAGCUAUAUUGCCGUCAUGUUGUGGCCUGAUGCAAGAUCUCAUAGAGAAGGGGGCAAGGCUGGUCAGAAGUUGCAGGAUGACAGAUAGCUUUGAGUGAGCAAGUUGGUCCGACAAAGACUGAGAGCAAACUGAGCCUUUUGAAGCUCCUGCUCUCAGACUAUGUCUCUCAGGAUGUGUCCCCCCUAGGCCAUGCCUUGUGGUGCUUAAAGAGCCAACCCUUCUGCCUGAAGAUGGGCAUUCCUCUGUCAUCUAGUCUCUUGCCUCAUGUACUCCCUGUACAGCUGAGUGCAGGCAGUGCACAACACAAGAGACUAGCUGAGGCUCUGUGCUCUGGCCCAACAGAUACAGGAGGUUCUUAUAGAGGCUCAUGUUACUCAGCCUCCUUUGUUUUCUGAUCCGAAGCAGCAGACCCAGAACCUUGCACCUUAUUUUGCUUCAUAGCUUGAAAGACUGCAGCCACUGACUCUUGAGGUCAUAGCAAUUGUUGGACUCUGAGGUCAUAACAAUUAAGUUGCAUUGUGUGCUCAGUGGCUGAAUUUAUCCUGGGAUUGUUGGAUGCUAAUUUCUGGUCUCAAGGAUCUUGAGAAUUUAUUCUUUUAUAAAGUAUUUUUUAUGACAAUGAAGACAAGAGCAUUAGGACAUUUGUCUGUAUCUUAUCCCAGUUAAUUAGUAUGAAGGUCUGUAUGUUCCACAGAAGUAGCUAUGUUAGACUUUUGCAGCAAUAGAGUCUACAGUGUGCUAGUAUUUUAAAGUGUGUGUUAUGAAACUGGCAUUUAUUCUGAAUGGUGCAGUUCAAAUUUUGUCUGCUUAUCCUUAUUACAAGAAUGUGUUAGUUAAAAAGUUAUUGGUUACAUUAAUGAAUUUACGUGAUAGUUUUUUGUAAGUUACUUUUUGUAAGUUACUGGAGACUUGUAAAAAGAGCAGAUAUACAUAAUAAAUAACAGCAAAAUAACAGAAUAGAUUAUGAAAUUUGAGAGUAGAGGAUUCUCAUUCAUUUUAGGACUCUGUUUAUGCUGCAAAUUUUAACUUAUUAUGGCAGAACAUGCUUGCAGGGUUCCAGCUUGUCUUGCAUUCUGAAGAAUUUACCUAGUAGCUCAGAGGUUCCCAAACGGUGGUCCACAAAGUUCAUUCUGGUGAUCUGGUGAUGUGUCUGUGAAGAACAGGGGCAGCAGCAACUAUUCUGUAAUUCUAAGAACCUCUUGGUCCACCUGAAAGGUGAGCAGGAUGGACCAGAGGUUAUGGGGACAUGAAGCAACUUGAAAGGAGGGGAAAGGAUUAGAAGGAAGAGAUGAUGAUGAUGAUGAUGAUGAUAGAAGCAAUAAAAAUAAAAUUAAAACCCAUAGAACGUCUAGCACAAUCACUACAAAUGGCAGAAAAAUCAGUAAGCGGCACACCAAGGUGUUCAGGAAUUCUCAAGUGGCCCUCACAGAAAAUGAUUGGGAACUACUUGUGGUAGGUUGUUAUUUGCAGUUUUAACUCAUGUGUAAGCACCGUGGCUGAAAUUCACCCAGCAGAUUUAUAAAACUCAAAAUACAGUUGAUUCUCUACUCAGGAUAAAUGGAAGGAUGUACAGAUUAAAGCUGAACAUGUGAAAUGCAAACAUAAAAUAAAACAACAAAUAUCAGUGGUGUAGUGAUUGCAUUAAAACAUCAGUCAAAAGCAACCUAUGCAACAUUAAAUGAAGAAUGUUUUCCCCCCAUCAACUUUAGAAUUUCAUUCAUAGUGUGUUUUGCUCAGUGUGUACAAUUGUGUGUUUUUAAACAACAAAAUAAAACAAAAACACGGCCUAUUAUCCAGUGUUAGCAUAAAGAACCAUGUACUUUGCUUAAAAUGCACUUAAAUGUUCUUCACAUCAAACAACAACAACAACAAUAACACACAUUCUUGUAGUUUUGUGUGUGGCUGGUUAUAGUUGAUAAGUUUGCCAUCCAGAAUUCCUCUAGAGACAGCUUCUCAGUCUGUGAAUGUUUUUAGGAAAGGUUUGUGUUUAUGUGAGUGUAAUAGUGAAGAAAGCCAUUCAACAGAGAUGAAUGCAUCAAUAGGAAACUUUAUGGGAAGCCAAAACUUUGCUGUUCAAUGGACUUUUGUGAGCAGUGACCCUCUUUUAAAGAGCAGUGACAUGUGGGACAAGUUGGCAUGGGAACGGUACAGCAGUGUCAAGUGAGAAUUUGCAGAGGGACAGAAUGCCUCUGCUCCUUUAAGCGAGAAUUUUGCAGACGUAUGUCAGGGAUUGGAGUAUGAGAGGGAAAAACACAGGCUACUCAAGCUUGAUCUGUGGGGAACUGCAGUUGCUGCUUUCCUUGAGAGCACAGGGGAAAAAAGUUAAAAAUUAUGC